ACGAGUUUUAAUUGUUAGGUUAGAGUUGAGCUGGUUAAUCUAAUUAAUAUGUGCUUACUCUAAUCGAAACAAGUCACUCAUUACUUAACACUUGGUGAAUUUAUUCAUUACAAACAUUAUUAUUUGUUAUUGGAACGUUUGAUUAUUAAAAAGUUAAUA
RNAcentral lists this unclassified non-coding RNA (159 nucleotides) under soil metagenome. Its description in RNAcentral is "partial internal transcribed spacer 1". The record is from RNAcentral.